RNAcentral lists this ribosomal RNA (1021 nucleotides) under uncultured Salinibacter sp. RNAcentral's name for it is "bacterial SSU rRNA". It matches the Rfam family "Bacterial small subunit ribosomal RNA", at positions 39 to 1073 of the family's 1533-position model. The record is from RNAcentral. Lineage: Bacteria; Pseudomonadati; Rhodothermota; Rhodothermia; Rhodothermales; Salinibacteraceae.
GCGGCAGGCUUACACAUGCAGUCGCACGAGAACGCUCCUUCGGGAGCAAGUAAAGUGGCGCACUUGUGCGUAACGCGUAGACAACCUGCCCUUGAGCGGAGGAUAACCACGGGAAACUGUGGCUAAUACUCCAUAACGUCCGGAGCCCGCAUGGGGUCCGGAUCAAAGCCUUCGGGUGCUCAGGGAUGGGUCUGCGUCGGAUUAGCUCGUUGGUGAGGUAACAGCUCACCAAGGCAACAAUCCGUAGCUGGUCUGAGAGGAUGAUCAGCCACACUGGCACUGAGACACGGGCCAGACUCCUACGGGAGGCAGCAGUGGGGAAUCUUAGGCAAUGGGGGAAACCCUGACCUAGCCAUGCCGCGUGGAGGAAGACACCCCUACGGGGCGUAAACUCCUUUUCUGCCGGAAGAAAACCCUGUUUUGCAGGGCGUGACGGUACGGCAGGAAUAAGCACCGGCUAACUCCGUGCCAGCAGCCGCGGUAAUACGGAGGGUGCAAGCGUUGUCCGGAAUCACUGGGCGUAAAGGGUGUGCAGGUGGGACCGCAAGUCAGGGGUGAAAGCCCACAGCUUAACUGUGGAAGUGCCCUUGAAACUGCUGUUCUUGAGUCCUGGAGAGGUUGCCGGAAUUCGUGGUGUAGCGGUGAAAUGCGUAGAUAUCACGAGGAACACCAGAGGCGUAAGCGGGCAACUGGACAGGUACUGACACUGAGGCACGAGAGCGUGGGGAGCAAACAGGAUUAGAUACCCUGGUAGUCCACGCCGUAAACGAUGAAUGCUCGCCGUUGUCCUGUUAGGGGACAGUGGCUAAGCUAACGCGUUAAGCAUUCCGCCUGGGGAGUACGACCGCAGGUUGAAACUCAAAGGAAUUGACGGGGCCCGCACAAGCGGUGGAGCAUGUUGCUUAUUCCAUGCCACGCGAAGAACCUUCCUAGCUCAACACUACCGGAUCGUUCCCAAAAAGACCCUCCCAAGGGCUGUAAUGGAGUGUUGCAUGGUUUCUCCCCUCUUGCCUGAAAAUUG